GGCAGUGUAGCCCAGAGGUUCAAGGGCAUUCGCUCUGGUAUCAGAAGGGUCUGGGUUCAAAUCCCUUGUGCACUGCUU
RNAcentral lists this transfer RNA (78 nucleotides) under Homo sapiens (human). Its description in RNAcentral is "tRNA-Gln-CTG-17-1". The record is from RNAcentral. Lineage: Eukaryota; Metazoa; Chordata; Mammalia; Primates; Hominidae.